GGGGGCGUAGCUCAGUUGGUAGAGCGUUGGCUUUGCAAGCCAAAAGUCAGCGGUUCGAGUCCGCUCGUCUCCA
The sequence is a transfer RNA, 73 nucleotides long. It matches the Rfam family "tRNA". From Rfam's summary of the family: Transfer RNA (tRNA) molecules are approximately 80 nucleotides in length. The record is from Rfam.